UGGGGAAUAUUGGACAAUGGGCGCAAGCCUGAUCCAGCCAUGCCGCGUGAGUGAUGAAGGCCCUAGGGUUGUAAAGCUCUUUCACCGGUGAAGAUAAUGACGGUAACCGGAGAAGAAGCCCCGGCUAACUUCGUGCCAGCAGCCGCGGUAAUACGAAGGGGGCUAGCGUUGUUCGGAUUUACUGGGCGUAAAGCGCACGUAGGCGGACUUUUAAGUCAGGGGUGAAAUCCCGGGGCUCAACCCCGGAACUGCCUUUGAUACUGGAAGUCUUGAGUAUGGUAGAGGUGAGUGGAAUUCCGGGUGUAGAGGUGAAAUUCGUAGAUAUUCGGGGGAACACCAGUGGCGAAGGCGGCUCACUGGACCAUUACUGACGCUGGGGUGCGAAAGCGUGGGGAGCAAACAGG
This 404-nucleotide ribosomal RNA is filed under the name Actinomycetes bacterium. RNAcentral's name for it is "Actinobacteria bacterium partial 16S ribosomal RNA". It matches the Rfam family "Bacterial small subunit ribosomal RNA", at positions 355 to 776 of the family's 1533-position model. The record is from RNAcentral. Lineage: Bacteria; Bacillati; Actinomycetota; Actinomycetes.